AUGUAACACCCAAUAGCUUCAUAUCGGAUGAAAAAAUGAUUCUGAUUGGAUUAUAUGAGGCCUCCACCCUAGUAAUAAUAAUUUGGCUUAAGCAUUUUGGGCCAAUGAUUUUGGCCCAACGAGUCAUUAUUGCUAGUGGGUCGGAUAGUUGUAAUUGGUAUUAGAGCCGAAUACCAGCCGGAAGUGUGAGAUAGGAAAAUAAUUCUGAUUGGAUUAUAAGACCUCUACCAUAAUAAUAAUAACUGAGCUUAAGAAUUUUGGGCUAGUGGUUUGGGUCUAACGAGUUAUUAUUACUUGUGGGUCGGUCGUCACAAUUGGUAUCAAAGCCGAAUACUAGCCGGAAGUGUGAAAGCUAAAUGCUAUACGGGGCAAACUACUACAGCAAUGGGCUUGGUGCGAGCCACCUCUUGAACCUGUAGGAGCCACCUCCAGAAUCUCACAUCGCCUAGUAAUUCUGGUCUGCAUGUCGGUGAUCUAGGUAUGGACCUGACUAGGACGUCAGUAUCUAAACAGGGGGAGUUUGUAACGCGCCAAUAGUCCCACAUCAGAUGAGAAAAUAAUUUUGAUGGGAAUAUAUGAUGCCUUCAUUCUAGUAAUAAUAACUGUGUUUAAGUAUUUUGGGCUGAUUUGUUUGGGUUCAACGAGUUAUUAUUGCUAGCGAGUCGGAUCGUUACAAUUGGUAUCAGAGCCGGAUACUAGCCGAAAGUGUGAAAGCUAAGUGCUAUGUGGGACAAAGUGUUGCACCAACGGAUUUGAUGGGAGUCACCUCUAGAAUCUCACAUCGCCUGGUGAUUCUGUUCUAUAUCUGUGAUCUGAUUUGAACCUGAUGAGGACGUCAAGGUCUAAACGGGGGAAUCUUUAACACCCCAAUAGUCCCACAUCAGAUGAGAAAAUGAUUCUGAUUGGAUUAUAUGAGGUCUCCACCCUAGUAAUAAUAACUUGGCUUAAGCAUUUUGGGCUAGUGGUUUGGGCCCAUUGAGUUAUUAUUGCUAGCGGGUCGGGUAGUUGCAAUUGGUAUCGGAGCCGAAUACCAGCCAGCAGUGUGAGAGCUAAAUGCUAUUCUAGUAUAUAUGUCGGCCCACAUCAGAUAAAAAAGUAAUUCCGAUUGGAUUAUAAGAGACCUCUAUCCUAAUAAUAAUAACUAGGCUUAAACAUUUUGGGCCGGUGGGUUAGGUCCAAUGAGUUAUUAUUGCUAGCAGGUCGGUUCUUUACAAUUGGUAUCAUAGCCGAAUAUCAACCGAAAGUGUGAGAGCUAAGUGCUAUGCGGGACAAAAUGCUACACCAACGGAUUUAGUGGGAGCCACCUCUUGAACCCGUAGGAGCCAUAUCUAGAGUCUCACAUCACUUGGUAAUUCUGGCCUACAUCCCUAACGAGGACGUCAGGAUCUAAAAAGAGGGGGUCUGUAAUACCCCAAUAGUCCAACAUCGGAUAAGCUGAGUGGAUUAUGUGAGGCCUUCACCCUAGUAAUAAUAAUUUAAGCAUUUUAGGCCAGUGAUUUGGGCCCAACGAGUUAUUAUUGCUAGCGGGUCGAGUAGUUGCAAUUGGUAUUAGAGCCGAAUACCAACUGAAAAUGUGAGAGCUAAGUGCUAUUUUGGUCUAUAUGUUGUCCCAUAUCGGAUGAAAAAAUAAUUUUGAUUGGAUUAUAAGAGACUUCUGCUAUAAUAAUAAUAACUGGGCUUAAACAUUUUGAACCGGUGGUUUGGGUCUAACGAGUUAUUAUUGCUAGCAUUUCGGGUCGUUACAAUUGGUAUCAAGUAUCAUAGCCAAAUACCAGCCAGAAGUGUGAGUGCUAAGUGCUAUGCCGGGCAAAGUGCUACACCAACGGGUUUGGUGGGAGCUAUCUCUAGAGCCCGUAGGAGCCACCUCUAGAAUCUGACACCGGGUAUGGACCUGACGAGAACGUCAGGGUCUAAACAGGAGGAGUUUGUAAUGCCCCAAUAUACCAAAUAGGAUGAGAAAAUGAUUCUGAUGGGACUAUAUGAGGCCUCAAUUCUAAUAAUAAUAAUUGGGCUUAAGCAUUUUGAGCCGAUGUUUUAGGCUCAACGAGUUAUUAUUUCUAGCUAGUAGGGUCGUUACAAUUGGUAUCAAGGUCGGAUACCAGCCGAAAGUGUGAGAGCUAAAUGCUAUGCGGGACAAAGUGCUACACCCACGGAUUUGGUGAGAGUCACCUCUUGAACCCGUAGGAGCCACCUCUAGAAUCUCACAUCGUCUGGUAAUUCUAUUAUGCAUUUGUGGUCUGAUUUGGACCUGACGAGAACGUUAGUGUCUAAAUGGGAGGAGUCUAUAACAUCCAAUAGUCCUACAUCAGAUGAAAAAAUGAUUCUGAUUGGAUUAUAUGACGCCUCCACCCUAGCAAUAAUAACUUGGAUUAAGCAUUUUGAGCUAGUGGUUUGGGCCUAACGAGUUAUUAUUGCUAGCGGGUCGGGUAGUUGCAAUUGGUGUCAAAGCCGAAUACCGGCCGGAAGUGUGAGAGCAAGUGCUAUUUUGGUCUAUAUGUCGUCCCACAUCGGAUAGAAAAAUAAUUAUGAUUGGAUUAUAAGAGACUUCUACUCAAAGAAUAAUAACUGGGCUUAAGCAUUUUGGGUCGGUGGUUUGGGUCUUACGAGUUAUUAUUGCUAGCAGGUCGGGUCAUUACAAUUGGUAUCAUAGCCGAAUACCGGCCGAAAGUUUGAGAGUUAAGUGCUAU
RNAcentral lists this long non-coding RNA (2687 nucleotides) under Ananas comosus (pineapple). RNAcentral describes it as "long non-coding RNA (ACOM_LNC013281)". Lineage: Eukaryota; Viridiplantae; Streptophyta; Magnoliopsida; Poales; Bromeliaceae. The record is from RNAcentral.